RNAcentral lists this ribosomal RNA (449 nucleotides) under uncultured bacterium. RNAcentral describes it as "SSU rRNA". It matches the Rfam family "Bacterial small subunit ribosomal RNA", at positions 26 to 518 of the family's 1533-position model. The record is from RNAcentral.
AGAACGAACGCUGGCGGCAGGCCUCAAACAUGCAAGUCUAGGGGGUGCAGCAAUGCAUCACCGGCGGGCGGGUGCGUAACACGUGGGAAUAUACCUUUCGGUACGGAACAACUGCGGGAAACUGCAGCUAAUACCGUAUACGUCCUUGCGGAGAAAGAUUUAUCGCCGAAGGAUUAGCCCGCGUUCGAUUAGCUAGUUGGCGGGGUAAUGGCCCACCAAGGCAACGAUCGAUAGCUGUUCUGAGAGGAAGAUCAGCCACACUGGGACUGAGACACGGCCCAGACUCCUACGGGAGGCAGCAGUUGGGAAUCUUGGACAAUGGGGGAAACCCUGAUCCAGCCAUGCCGCGUGAGUGAUGAAGGCCUUCGGGUUGUAAAGCUCUUUUACCCGGGAAGAUAAUGACGUGUACCGGGAGAAUAAGCUCCGGCUAACUUCGCGCCAGCAGCCGC